GAGAACUACGACACAACAGAAACACAACAUUAAAAUGUAACACACACAGAAACGAACUAUAAUAUAACAAUGGCCAUUUUCCUGACUUGGUACAGGACAUUUUAAGGGAAAAAAAUAGUGGGUUGAACCUGGUUUUGUGGCAUGCCAAACCUCCCGCUUUUAUGGCAAUGUGAAAUAUAAAAUUAAAAUGACAACAUUACAUGACAGGACUACAAUACAAAUAAAUGGGAGAACAUAUAGGACAGAGAAACAC
This 253-nucleotide long non-coding RNA is filed under the name Mytilus galloprovincialis (Mediterranean mussel). Lineage: Eukaryota; Metazoa; Mollusca; Bivalvia; Mytilida; Mytilidae. The record is from RNAcentral.